This 468-nucleotide ribosomal RNA is filed under the name uncultured bacterium. RNAcentral's name for it is "partial 16S ribosomal RNA". It matches the Rfam family "Bacterial small subunit ribosomal RNA", at positions 28 to 507 of the family's 1533-position model. The record is from RNAcentral.
GACGAACGCUGGCGGCGUGCUUAACACAUGCAAGUCGAACGGAAAGGCCCUGCUUUUGUGGGGUGCUCGAGUGGCGAACGGGUGAGUAACACGUGAGUAACCUGCCCUUGACUUUGGGAUAACUUCAGGAAACUGGGGCUAAUACCGGAUAGGAGCUCCUGCUGCAUGGUGGGGGUUGGAAAGUUUCGGCGGUUGGGGAUGGACUCGCGGCUUAUCAGCUUGUUGGUGGGGUAGUGGCUUACCAAGGCUUUGACGGGUAGCCGGCCUGAGAGGGUGACCGGCCACAUUGGGACUGAGAUACGGCCCAGACUCCUACGGGAGGCAGCAGUGGGGAAUAUUGCACAAUGGGCGGAAGCCGGAUGCAGCAACGCCGCGUGCGGGAUGACGGCCUUCGGGUUGUAAACCGCUUUCGCCUGUGACGAAGCGUGAGUGACGGUAAUGGGUAAAGAAGCAACGGCUAACUACGUG